This 424-nucleotide ribosomal RNA is filed under the name uncultured bacterium. RNAcentral describes it as "bacterial SSU rRNA". It matches the Rfam family "Bacterial small subunit ribosomal RNA", at positions 355 to 796 of the family's 1533-position model. The record is from RNAcentral.
UCGGGAAUUUUGCGCAAUGGACGAAAGUCUGACGCAGCAACGCCGCGUGAGGGAUGAAGGCCUUCGGGUUGUAAACCUCUUUUCUCAGGGAAGAUAAUGACGGUACCUGAGGAAUAAGCCACGGCUAACUACGUGCCAGCAGCCGCGGUAAUACGUAGGUGGCGAGCGUUGUCCGGAUUUACUGGGCGUAAAGAGCGCGCAGGCGGUCGUACAAGUCGCGUGUGAAAGCCCCCGGCUCAACUGGGGAGGGUCACGCGAUACUGAUCGACUCGAAGGCAGGAGAGGGAAGUGGAAUUCCCGGUGUAGUGGUGAAAUGCGUAGAUAUCGGGAGGAACACCAGUGGCGAAGGCGACUUCCUGGCCUGUUCUUGACGCUGAGGCGCGAAAGCUAGGGUAGCAAACGGGAUUAGAUACCCCCGUAGUCC